UACGGAGGGUGCAAGCGUUGUCCGGAAUUAUUGGGCGUAAAGAGCUCGUAGGCGGUUUGUUGCGUCGGCUGUGAAAUCCCGAGGCUCAACCUCGGGUCUGCAGUCGAUACGAGCAAACUAGAGUGUUGCAGGGGAGACUGGAAUUCCUGGUGUAGCGGUGAAAUGCGCAGAUAUCAGGAGGAACACCCGAUGGCGAAGGCA
This 201-nucleotide ribosomal RNA is filed under the name uncultured bacterium. Its description in RNAcentral is "partial 16S ribosomal RNA". It matches the Rfam family "Bacterial small subunit ribosomal RNA", at positions 524 to 723 of the family's 1533-position model. The record is from RNAcentral.